CAUAGAUCAUGUCGAUCCCCUCAAGUCCAACCCAAUUAUAUGUAUAAUAUCGCAAACCGUGAACAAAUCAAUGCGCCGUUUUGUCAAAAACUUGGCCCAAAUUCUUCGCACAUCCAUCCACCUCAUUGAGCAAGAGGUUUCACCUCGGUAGGGAAGGAAUGGGCUGUGCCGGGUCAAUUAUCAUUCGUCGAGACUGAACGGCCGGCGAAGCUGUCAAAGAAUUCUUGAACCAUUCAGAUCUGUUACUCGAACGCACGCACCGGCACCGGCAGGGACGCCUCAAAACCCUUCAGAUAUGGAUGAUCGAUAUGUGCCGUCAUGAAGAACUGAAGGUGACGAAGACUACAUGGCCAGACUCCACUUCGAUCAAGCAGUGGUGGCUCGUGAUCGACUCAUCCGCAGUGCCGAAAAAGGGGACCCGCUCCCUGCUACUUCUGGUGGGCUGGAAAAUCUGGAUGGAAAGAAACAUCCGCACUUUCCAAAGGCGAGAGAGGUCAGUGGUAGACCUGUUAGCACCAAUUAAGACGGAGGCAAGGCUAUGAGAUGUUGCAGGUGCUAAACACAUUUUUACGCUUUUACCUCCUGAUGUAAUUAUAUAACUUAUUUAUACUCUCGCUGUGGGGCUUCUUGGCUCCCGC
Molecule: long non-coding RNA, 638 nt
Organism: Zea mays
Lineage: Eukaryota; Viridiplantae; Streptophyta; Magnoliopsida; Poales; Poaceae
Exons: 3
Source: RefSeq, a predicted model, not a curated record